Molecule: ribosomal RNA, 253 nt
Filed under: uncultured bacterium
Lineage: Bacteria
Description: partial 16S ribosomal RNA
Rfam family: Bacterial small subunit ribosomal RNA
Source: RNAcentral
UACGUAGGGUGCGAGCGUUACUCGGAAUUACUGGGCGUAAAGCGUGCGCAGGCGGUUUUGUAAGCCAGAUGUGAAAGCCCCGGGCUUAACCUGGGAAUGGCAUUUGGGACUGCAAGGCUUGAGUGCGGCAGAGGAGACUGGAAUUCCUGGUGUAGCAGUGAAAUGCGUAGAUAUCAGGAGGAACACCGGUGGCGAAGGCGGCCUGCUGGGCAGUAGCUGACGCUGAGGCGCGACAGCGUGGGGAGCAAACAGG